UCACGCUCCGGUGUGAGCCCAGCCUCGUCACGCUCCGGUGUGAGCCCAGCCUCGUCACGCUCCGGUGUGAGCCCUGCCUCGUCACGCUCCGGUGUCAGCCCAGCCUCGUCACGCUCCGGUGUCAGCCCAGCCUCGUCACGCUCCGGUGUCAGCCCAGAUUCCAGACAAGUCAGGUCACGCUCAGGACCCAGACCAGUCAGGCCCGACGUCUACUCAGUCGAGCUCGGCAGCUGUAGGUAGCCCUGCCGGCUCCGGAGAGGACGCCGUCCCGAUCCCUGUAUGCACCUCCCAGUUAUGGAAUACAUAUAAUGAGCUGAAUCCUUGUCUUCUCUUCAAUGAGAGGAAGUUGCCUUUCCUGUAAACUGGAAACUGGAAACUGGAAACAUGCAAGUAAAAUCCUGAAGAAGAUUUCUCAUCACUACAACAUCCCACCUCCUGCCGAUGACACCACUUUAAGUGUGGGAGGUCACACCAGAGGCUGAUUGUACCAGUAAAUCCCACAGACCUAAACUCACUCUGAAGCUAAAAAAGUGAACAGAUCUAGAUUAAAAUUCACAACCACAACAAAAACUAUUAAAAGUUGAGUCACACCACUUCUUUAUUCCAUUUCAGAUACAGAGGGAAGGAGAACAGUAACAACAUGCACUGGUUGUUUCCAGACCCAGCGUCUCUGAAAAACACAAGCUACAGUACUACAAUACAGUUUUUUUAAAUAUGAGGGUUGUAGAAAUGUCACCAGUUUAGAUCUUGUGAUGAAAAUCAAAUUUCCACUAACUCAGAGUUUUCCACAGUUUAAACAAAACACAUUUGUAGAUCACACAAGUUCUGGUCUAUUUUUCAUUGGUAAGAUGAGGCGGAGGGAAAUGAGGAUGAAGAAUAUCUUGAACUGAUUCAGAUACUUACUUUUACAACAUAUGUAAGAUCUUAGCAUUGGAGCAAACCUUGGACCUUGUUCAGGCGGUAUCAAAUUAGAACCUGAAGCCAGCUGUAGUCAAAAUCUACCUCUACUCCCAACCCUGUCUCUCACAUUAAACUGAACCUAUUGACAGACUGGGCUCUUUAGCGGUGUUUUAACAUGCUUUGAAGUGUUGGACACAAGGUUUGAAACAAAUAUAGAAGCUCUGAAAGUCACAGUUUGAUUUUUAUAUAUUUUAGCACAUUCUGUAACUUCACGUGUUUUGUAUUUUGUUACACAGUUGCUCAGUUGGUAGAGCAUUGACCUAGGUAGCAGAAGGUCCCAGGUUUAAAGCCCACCAGAGCACCAGAGCAAGUGUGUCCUCGAGUAAGAUACCUACAGCAGCACUAGCACUGCAUCUCAAUUAAAAUUUAAACAGUACUAAACGAUAAAAUCUGCAUAUCUCAUAGUAGACGUUCCUGCUGUCCUUAAAGCUUGGGAUGUAUAACAGAUCUGUCAGUCGUUGAUUUAUCUAUGUGUGUGUAUCUGUGUUUGUCUGUGUGUGGGUGUGUGUGUAUAUAAAUAAAACAGAAUUUAACUGAAUUGAAAUCUUAAUGAAUUAUAGAUACAGUACCUGCUCAUUGAUGUGUGUGUUUGUGUGUGUGUGUGUGUGUGUGUGUGUGUGUGUGUGUGUGUCCUGUGAACGUUGUGCAUUUAAACUGAUUUAUAGUUACUGUCUGGUGUUGUAUUUUGAAAGGAUCAUUUCUGGUUUGCUCCUGUCCUUAAUUCCUUACUGUACCUUGAUUGCUUUUAUUGUUUUCACCUGUAUAUAGGUCCACCCUUUACCUAAGGCCUCAGUUGUUUUUCAUCAGCUUGUCACUUAAGGUUGGGCUCAUGCUUUUGCAGUGUUUUCUUGUUUAGUUUGCUGUUGCACUGAAGUCAAGCAGUUGUCAUUGCUGUUUUCUAAGGUGUGUGAAAAUAAAUGAUGGUGAUUUUCUUCAUGUUCUA
Betta splendens (Siamese fighting fish) is the source of this 1903-nucleotide long non-coding RNA. RefSeq lists it as uncharacterized. The transcript is spliced from 2 exons. The record is from RefSeq and is a predicted model, not a curated record. Lineage: Eukaryota; Metazoa; Chordata; Actinopteri; Anabantiformes; Osphronemidae.